GAUGAAGAACGCAGUGAAAUGCGAUAAGUAAUGUGAAUUGCAGAAUUCAGUGAACCAUCGAAUCUUUGAACGCACAUUGCGCCCGGCAGUAAUCUGCCGGGCAUGCCUGUCCGAGCGUCAUUUCUGCCCUCGAGCGAGUCCAGCAUCUAGGUGCUGGGCCCGCCCGGCGUUGGGGCACUACGGGAAGCCCUGUGCUGUCCCCCGUAGGCCCCGAAAUGAAGUGGCGGUCCUGCCGCGGCGCCCCCUGCGUAGUAUAACAGCUCGCUUCGGGACCCGGUGGAGGCCUGCCGUCAAACCUUACUCUCUAAGUUUGACCUCGGAUCAGGUAGGGUUACCCGCUGAACUUAAGCAUAUCAAUAAGCGGAGGA
Molecule: unclassified non-coding RNA, 368 nt
Filed under: soil metagenome
Description: partial contains 5.8S ribosomal RNA, internal transcribed spacer 2, and large subunit ribosomal RNA
Rfam family: 5.8S ribosomal RNA (bases 1-120)
Source: RNAcentral